Molecule: ribosomal RNA, 468 nt
Filed under: uncultured bacterium
Lineage: Bacteria
Description: partial 16S ribosomal RNA
Rfam family: Bacterial small subunit ribosomal RNA
Source: RNAcentral
GACGAACGCUGGCGGCGUGCUUAACACAUGCAAGUCGAACGGUGAAGCUCCAGCUUGCUGGAGUGGAUCAGUAGCGAACGGGUGAGUAACACGUGAGCAACCUGCCCCAGACUCUGGAAUAAGCGCUGGAAACGGCGUCUAAUACUGGAUACGAGAUCAAGCCGCAUGGUUAUGGUCUGGAAAGUUUUUCGGUUUGGGAUGGGCUCGCGGCCUAUCAGCUUGUUGGUGAGGUAAUGGCUCACCAAGGCGACGACGGGUAGCCGGCCUGAGAGGGCGACCGGCCACACUGGGACUGAGACACGGCCCAGACUCCUACGGGAGGCAGCAGUGGGGAAUAUUGCACAAUGGGCGAAAGCCUGAUGCAGCGACGCCGCGUGAGGGAUGACGGCCUUCGGGUUGUAAACCUCUUUCAGCAGGGAAGAAGCGAAAGUGACGGUACCUGCAGAAGAAGCACCGGCUAACUACGUG